Molecule: long non-coding RNA, 2488 nt
Organism: Falco peregrinus (peregrine falcon)
Lineage: Eukaryota; Metazoa; Chordata; Aves; Falconiformes; Falconidae
Exons: 3
Source: RefSeq, a predicted model, not a curated record
GCAGCUGUUACAACACUAAUUGAAAUAUGUUUUUAAAUAUAUCAGGUUUCCAAACAUUUGCAGAAGAAUUAUUUUUUUCCCCUGUGUUCAAAACUCAGUAUUUCAGCCAUUUAAAAGGAGUGCCUAAUCCUUACAAUGCAUUAGUAGGUCAUAAAAUAAAGCUGAAGUAUAGGUAUUUUAUACUGGGGAUGGGGAUAAGUCUACAAUUGUAGGUGGAUGGGGAGAAACUACAACAGUAGGUGGAUGGGGAGAACCUACAACUGUAGGUAGCCCUGGAUGCUUUAUCAUCUAUUUAGCUAUCACACAGUAAGAACGUUGUCAUGCAAUGUCAUGAGAUGGCGAUGGGUUGAAAGGAAGCAGAUGCGAACACCCCACCUCCCAGGUUUUACCCAGUCUCAUAUGAGAUGAUCUAUGUCAUCCAUGUGGGAUGGAGUUAGGAGAGAGGCAGCUCACAGGAGGGCUCAAAAACACUUGUGUGUCAUCAGGUGGAUGCAUGAUGUAGAAGCCACAGUGAAGUGGCUUCUCACUGAAAUGAAACUAAAUGAUAAAUCUCUCUCAAAUAUGUAAAGGAAGUGUUUAGGCUUUUUCUCAUCCCAUCAUUUCCAAAAAGAGGUUUCCACAGGGGCUUGUGCUCAAUUUACAGAGGGGAAAUUAUAACUAAUCUCUUUGCAAAGUCUCUAAAAUUGCAUUUCUGUUAAAGCAAAACAACAACAAAGAAAUCUCUAACAGUAAGUAUAUCUCAAUCUUCCUGGGCUAAAGGUCUGUGACUGAAAAGCUGUGUGUUGCCCAUUUGCAGUGGUAUAGAAGUCAGAAGACAUCAGAUCAUAAGCCAUCACUGGUCCCAGACUAAAUAUCACCCAUCCUUUGCCUAAGGCAAGUGGGUCUUUUUUCUAUGGGAGGGGGCCAAACAGAAAUCCCACUCUUUGGAGGAAAGAAGGAAACAUUUUUGUGACAGUUUGUUUAUAUUUUUUAAAGGCAGAUCUUUUGAAGCUGCUUGGGGGUUUGGAUGUUAGAUGUAGUCCCAAUGGAGAUGGAUUAGAGGCCAGAGCACAGCGAAGCGGUCAAAGGUGCAAGAUAAAUGCAAUUUAUAUAUAAUUGCCCAAGCUGCACCUGUUCCGUUUUGAAUGGGAGACCUUGCCUGCAGAGCAAAUUUCACAAGCCUAGAAUAUAUCCCUUUUUUUUUUCUUUAUCUCAGUGUAAAAUAGGGAAUUCUAAACUUGUAUCAGAGUAAAGCAAGAAAAAAUAAUCUUUAAAUAGCAUGUAAAUUUUUUAUGAAUCAAGCUCUAAAUAAAGAAAACUCCUGAGCUGGGAAUUCAAAAUACUAGCCAAAGAGAGAUGAUUUGCUACCAGGCUCAAGAACAAUAUUUAGUUUACAGAAUCAAUCUGGAAAUAAAACUAGUGCUUGCAUCAGCAUGAAAGCUACAAAAAUAAAAAAAAGGUCUUAAUAAAAUAUACAGUGGAAAAGGAAAGGAUGAAAGCACUAGCACAGCUAUGAGGCCCUCAGCAGCCCACACAAGUAAUAAAAUAGAAUAUGAUGUAAUAUAGAACAACAAUGAAAGGAUUUAAAAUUUCUAGGUAGGAUUCUGAAAAACUGUUUCCAGCUUUUGUUGCAGAGCAGGCACGCUGCAAGUUUCCUUGUGAAGCUACGAUAAAGCUGGUGUGUAGCAGACAUGGGUGUUGACAACAUCCGAACAAACACUAACCUUCACCUUACUCCUGAAUCAGCCCAAUGCAGCGUUGGCAGGCUGGAUUUCUACCCAGGAGCCAGGAUAUUUCUGUUUCUAGAUGCUCCAUUCUGUUUGCUCUCCUGCUCACUUACCUACUGCUGUUUUCCCUCCUUAUCUGCAAUGCAAAGAUCUUUGUGCUCACCACAUGCUUUGCCAUGAAGGCAACCAUCGUCUUCACCUUUAGUAAGGAAAGUGUCUUGAACCUUGUGCUAAGCAGCUUGGAGAAAGCUGAGAUUAGACGCACGCAGUAUCUGCUCAACUAAUUUCAGCCUGACCAAAGUUCAUAAGACUUCACAGGAAAAUAAUGUGAGCACUUAAUUCCCGUGCUACCUGCCACGCUCUGCACCGUAAUUACAGUGCUGCAUCCCCUGGUUUUAAAGAAGUAGGACCUUGUGAAGCUCAAACUCCAAGAGGCAUACGUAACUUCUUUUAAAAUUAAAUGGCAUCCCAAAAUUAACAUGGCAGAAUUUGUUCCUGCAACAAACAAUGACCUCUACACUAAAUUUCAGAUCAGCUAGAACCAAUGUAAUUCUCUCAUUACAGUAAUAAAAUAAAUUCUCCUUGUCCAUAUGAAGCUAGAAGCUAUUGCAGAAUACUGCUAAUACUGCAUAAAUGAAAGACAAUGGAUUGUGAAAUUUAGGCCCCUUUUUCUGCUGUGCUCAAGCUGUGGCAGAAAUGGCAUACAGAGGUAAUCACAGAGCUCAUUGAUCUGCAACCACAUGGUCCUACCAAAAGUUCUCAGAUUGACACAAAGAACUGGC